AACGAACGCUGGCGGCAGGCUUAACACAUGNNNGUCGAGCGCCCCCUCGGGGGAGCGGCAGACGGGUGAGUAAUGCAUGGGAAUCUACCUGGCUCUACGGAAUAACUCAGGGAAACUUGAACUAAUACCGUAUACGUCCCUCGGGAGAAAGAUUUAUCGGAGUUAGAUGAGCCCAUGUCUGAUUAGCUAGUUGGUGAGGUAAAGGCUCACCAAGGCGACGAUCAGUAGCUGGUCUGAGAGGAUGAUCAGCCACACUGGGACUGAGACACGGCCCAGACUCCUACGGGAGGCAGCAGUGAGGAAUAUUGGACAAUGGGCGGGAGCCUGAUCCAGCCAUGCCGCGUGCAGGAAGACUGCCCUAUGGGUUGUAAACUGCUUUUUUACGGGAAGAAACACCCCCACGUGUGGGGGCUUGACGGUACCGUACGAAUAAGGACCGGCUAACUCCGUGCCAGCAGCCGCGGUAAUACGGAGGGUCCAAGCGUUAUCCGGAAUCAUUGGGUUUAAAGGGUCCGUAGGCGGGCGUCUAAGUCAGUGGUGAAAUCUCGCGGCUCAACCGUGAAAUUGCCAUUGAUACUGGUCGCCUUGAAUUAGUGUGAAGUGGCUAGAAUAUGUAGUGUAGCGGUGAAAUGCUUAGGUAUUACAUAGAAUACCGAUUGCGAAGGCAGGUCACUAACACUAUAUUGACGCUGAUGGACGAAAGCGUGGGGAGCGAACAGGAUUAGAUACCCUGGUAGUCCACGCCGUAAACGAUGGAUACUAGCUGUCCGGCCUGCAUUGGUAGGCUGGGUGGCCAAGCGAAAGUGAUAAGUAUCCCACCUGGGGAGUACGUUCGCAAGAAUGAAACUCAAAGGAAUUGACGGGGGCCCGCACAAGCGGUGGAGCAUGUGGUUUAAUUCGAUGAUACGCGAGGAACCUUACCAGGGCUUAAAUGUAGUCUGACAGGGGUGGAAACACCCCCUUCUUCGGACAGACUGCAAGGUGCUGCAUGGUUGUCGUCAGCUCGUGCCGUGAGGUGUCAGGUUAAGUCCUAUAACGAGCGCAACCCCUGUCGUUAGUUGCCAGCAUGUAAAGAUGGGAACUCUAACGAGACUGCCGGUGCAAACCGUGAGGAAGGUGGGGAUGACGUCAAAUCAUCACGGCCCUUACGUCCUGGGCCACACACGUGCUACAAUGGCAGGUACAAUGGGCAGCCACGCCGCAAGGCGGAGCGAAUCCACAAAACCUGUCUCAGUUCGGAUCGGGGUCUGCAACUCGACCCCGUGAAGCUGGAAUCGCUAGUAAUCGGAUAUCAGCCAUGAUCCGGUGAAUACGUUCCCGGGCCU
This 1325-nucleotide ribosomal RNA is filed under the name uncultured bacterium. Its description in RNAcentral is "bacterial SSU rRNA". It matches the Rfam family "Bacterial small subunit ribosomal RNA", at positions 28 to 1381 of the family's 1533-position model. The record is from RNAcentral.